RNAcentral lists this ribosomal RNA (466 nucleotides) under uncultured bacterium. RNAcentral describes it as "partial 16S ribosomal RNA". It matches the Rfam family "Bacterial small subunit ribosomal RNA", at positions 331 to 793 of the family's 1533-position model. The record is from RNAcentral.
CCAGACUCCUACGGGAGGCAGCAGUGAGGAAUAUUGGUCAAUGGGCGGGAGCCUGAACCAGCCAAGUCGCGUGAGGGAAGACGGUCCUAUGGAUUGUAAACCUCUUUAGGCGGGGAGCAAUGCCGGGCACGCGUGCCCGGAGGGAGAGUACCCGCAGAAUAAGCAUCGGCUAACUCCGUGCCAGCAGCCGCGGUAAUACGUAGGGGGCAAGCGUUAUCCGGAUUUACUGGGUGUAAAGGGAGCGUAGACGGCAUAGCAAGUCUGAAGUGAAAGCCCGUGGCUCAACCGCGGAACUGCUUUGGAAGCUGUUAAGCUGGAGUACUGGAGAGGCAAGCGGAAUUCCUAGUGUAGCGGUGAAAUGCGUAGAUAUUAGGAGGAACACCAGUGGCGAAGGCGGCUUGCUGGACAGAGACUGACGUUGAGGCUCGAAAGCGUGGGGAGCAAACAGGAUUAGAUACCCGUGUAA